GGGGAUAUAGCUCAGUUGGUAGAGUGCUUGCUUGCCUUGCAUGCACGAGGCCCUGGGUUCAAACCCCAGCACCACCA
Molecule: transfer RNA, 77 nt
Filed under: Marmota marmota marmota (Alpine marmot)
Lineage: Eukaryota; Metazoa; Chordata; Mammalia; Rodentia; Sciuridae
Also listed under: 1 other name
Rfam family: tRNA
About the family: Transfer RNA (tRNA) molecules are approximately 80 nucleotides in length. Their secondary structure includes four short double-helical elements and three loops (D, anti-codon, and T loops).
Source: Rfam by way of RNAcentral